CCUACGGGUGGCAGCAGUGAGGAAUAUUGGUCAAUGGACGAGAGUCUGAACCAGCCAAGUAGCGUGAAGGAUGACUGCCCUAUGGGUUGUAAACUUCUUUUAUAUGGGAAUAAAAUGUUCCACGUGUGGGAUUUUGUAUGUACCAUAUGAAUAAGGAUCGGCUAACUCCGUGCCAGCAGCCGCGGUAAUACGGAGGAUCCGAGCGUUAUCCGGAUUUAUUGGGUUUAAAGGGAGCGUAGGUGGAUUGUUAAGUCAGUUGUGAAAGUUUGCGGCUCAACCGUAAAAUUGCAGUUGAAACUGGCAGUCUUGAGUACAGUAGAGGUGGGCGGAAUUCGUGGUGUAGCGGUGAAAUGCUUAGAUAUCACGAAGAACACCGAUUGCGAAGGCAGUUCACUGGACUGCAACUGACACUGAGGCUCGAAAGUGUGGGUAUCAAACAGGAUUAGAUACCCUAGUAGUC
RNAcentral lists this ribosomal RNA (460 nucleotides) under uncultured bacterium. RNAcentral's name for it is "partial 16S ribosomal RNA". It matches the Rfam family "Bacterial small subunit ribosomal RNA", at positions 338 to 795 of the family's 1533-position model. The record is from RNAcentral.